GACGAACGCUGGCGGCGUGCUUAACACAUGCAAGUCGAACGGUGAACGAGGGAGCUUGCUCCCUCCGGAUCAGUGGCGAACGGGUGAGUAACACGUGAGCAAUCUGCCCCGUACUCUGGGAUAAGCGUUGGGAACGACGUCUACUACCGGCUCAGACGCGGGAGGGCAUCAUCCCCGCGAGGAUCGAACUUCGGUCCGGGGUGGGCUCGCGGCCUAUAAGCUCGAUGGUGAGGUAACGGCGCACCAAGGCGACGACGGGUAGCCGGCCUGGGAGGGUGACCGGCCACACGGGGACUGAGACACGGCCCAGACUCCUACGGGAGGCAGCAGUGGGGAGUAUUGCACAGUGGGCGCAAGCCUGAGGCAGCAACGCCGCGUGAGGGACGACGGCCUGCGGGGUGUAAACCUCUUUUAGCAGGGAAGAAGCGAAAGUGACGGUACCUGCAGAAAAAGCACCGGCUAACUACGUG
RNAcentral lists this ribosomal RNA (470 nucleotides) under uncultured bacterium. RNAcentral describes it as "partial 16S ribosomal RNA". It matches the Rfam family "Bacterial small subunit ribosomal RNA", at positions 28 to 507 of the family's 1533-position model. The record is from RNAcentral.